Molecule: long non-coding RNA, 777 nt
Organism: Amborella trichopoda
Lineage: Eukaryota; Viridiplantae; Streptophyta; Magnoliopsida; Amborellales; Amborellaceae
Source: RefSeq, a predicted model, not a curated record
CGGGUAUCAUAGUAUCGUUAGUCUUAUUAUUCGCCGGCUUGCUAACUACGCUGAUAACUUCGCCUGUCCGGCUUGCUAACGAUGCUGAUAACAUCGCCUGUCCGGCUUGCUAACGAUGCUGAUAACAUCGCCUGUCGCUCGUUACUCUGAGCAAGCGCAGUGCCUCGCCUCCGGUUUAUGGGAGUACUGGCCGGAGUUUUCGACCGGAAUUAUUGUAUCUCUAAGAAACAUACAGUACCCUUAGAUCUUAGCAACUUAGAAUCCUACGCACAAUGGACUGGUGGUGGGCACUAAUUCCUCCUGCCCUGGCCGUUGUAACCGCCGGAAUUCGCUUCACCGGCCAUCAGAAAACCGCCAAAACUGCAGCACCAGAAACCUUGCGAAAUGGGGGAGGCCUCACACAUAAGAAGCCAUUUGUGUGUGAACGUGUCUGCGCUUCAAAGAGAAUACUCAACAAGGAACCCUUGCCUACAUAUCAUCGCAAGCGGGUGUCAUUGCAGUGUGCCGCUUCUAGGGAACACCCUAGCCAAGCCUUGCUCCUUUCUCACUGCACCUAGAUGUGCAACGUGACGCUAUAGAGAAGGCCCUAUCAUAAAUAUAUAAUGUUGGAUCAAGAUUCAUAAUGAUGUGGCAAAAGUUUUCCACUGGGUGGAACCUAACACAACCCUCAUCCUUUCUCAUAUGGAUAUUAAAAGUUGAAAUUGCUGAAACGUUUGUGUUUUUUUUGUGUUGUUGGUAUAAAUAUUUUUCUAUCUUAUAAGUUUAGCUAAUAUCGUA